Long non-coding RNA from Phyllopteryx taeniolatus (common seadragon), 940 nucleotides. RefSeq lists it as uncharacterized. NCBI's taxonomy places the organism in Eukaryota, Metazoa, Chordata, Actinopteri, Syngnathiformes, Syngnathidae. The record is from RefSeq and is a predicted model, not a curated record. The transcript is spliced from 3 exons.
CAGAAGGCAGAUAUUGGAUUAUUGCUCUGCACUUAUGUUUAAAGCUUUGUUUGUUAUUUAUUGUACAAUUUUGGCCCACCCUCAUUUUGGACACGUCAGUCUGUCACGGCCUGACAUGUCAAGCGCAGAAGAUGAGGACAUUUCUUCGAACUACUACAUAUUCAUUAUAUUUGAAGGGUUCUGAUCCGGAGAAGGAAAUAGCAAGAGGGGUCGAUGUAGGCCUACUCUUCAUGACUGGAGAAGCUGAGGAUGGCGACAUGCUCACAGACAUUCUGGAUGUUACAGUGAUACUGGAGGACAAAAUCAUCCGUCAGCUAAAAAGUGUUCCAAAUGCCUUUGCUGUCCUAAUUAGCCGCUCGUAUAGUCUCAACAUUGACUGUCCAAAGGGACUGAAAUACAGCUUUGAGCUAAUCCAGAAGGUUUUCAUGGAUGUUGGCAGUAUGACAUGUUCAUCCAAUGUUCUUGCGCAAGAACAAGAUUCUGCAACAAACAGUUUGAUCAGAUCUCUUCAAGUGAUCCAUCUUUCGUUGUUUAUGGAUACAGACAGGUGGGAUCACUUCAAAUGUUAUCGAUUUUUGGACUGCAACUGUUAAAUGAGACCUGACUCAAUUCAAAACUUGGUCUACACAUCUGUUGAAAGCUCCUGUGACUUCUGCAGCCUCCUUUUUUUUUUUUUUAACAUUUUCAUUUAUUUGAUACUCUUCUGUGGUAAACAUUGCAUAGCUCAAAUUCAUGGCCAUAUGCUAUAAGACUGUCUCCCUCUUUCACUCUUUCUGUUUGUCUUUGUACGUUACCAGAAUAAAGAAGGUACAGGGGAGUGAGAGAACAGCAUUUGUUGACAAGAGAUUAAAAAUUGAAUGAGACAGAUUUAAAAUAUAUCAACAUACUAUGCCAAAAUGAGUGUCAAUGCAUUUCAAACUCUACCUGUGUCAGUUCUCCA